Molecule: small nucleolar RNA, 107 nt
Organism: Humulus lupulus (European hop)
Lineage: Eukaryota; Viridiplantae; Streptophyta; Magnoliopsida; Rosales; Cannabaceae
Source: RefSeq, a predicted model, not a curated record
AUGCAAAGGUGAGGGAAUUUUUGCAAUAACUCCUUAAACUGCUCCCAUGCCUCAUAUAAAGAUUCUUCAUCACGUUGCUGAAAUGAAGUAAUCUCAUUGCAGAGCUU